This 448-nucleotide ribosomal RNA is filed under the name uncultured bacterium. Its description in RNAcentral is "bacterial SSU rRNA". It matches the Rfam family "Bacterial small subunit ribosomal RNA", at positions 355 to 825 of the family's 1533-position model. The record is from RNAcentral.
UGGGGAAUCUUGGACAAUGGGCGCAAGCCUGAUCCAGCCAUGCCGCGUGAGUGAUGAAGGCCUUAGGGUUGUAAAGCUCUUUUUGCCGGGGACGAUAAUGACGGUACCCGGAGAAUAAGUCCCGGCUAACUUCGUGCCAGCAGCCGCGGUAAUACGAAGGGGACUAGCGUUGUUCGGAAUCACUGGGCGUAAAGCGCACGUAGGCGGAUUUGUAAGUCAGGGGUGAAAUCCCGGGGCUCAACCUCGGAACUGCCUUUGAUACUGCGGAUCUCGAGUCCGAUAGAGGUGAGUGGAAUUCCUAGUGUAGAGGUGAAAUUCGUAGAUAUUAGGAAGAACACCGGUGGCGAAGGCGGCUCACUGGAUCGGUACUGACGCUGAGGUGCGAAAGCGUGGGGAGCAAACAGGAUUAGAUACCCGAGUAGUCCCUGAGCGGGCUGGCAAGGCGCAU